CCUCCUCCCUUCCCAGGCAGCACGUGGGAAGCCGGCUUCAGCCGCGUGCUGCUUUUCCUGGCCGGUGCCGACCUGGUUCUGCCCAGGCGGGUCCUGCAGCACCAUGUCAACCCGGGCAUGGCACCGGCAGGCUGGGUGGGCCCCAGGUCAACCCUGGCCUGGCCCCGCGGCUUCUCCAGCCCCAGGUCAACCUGGUUGUAGCCAAGCGGCUCCUGCUGCACCAUGUCAACCUGAGCAUGCAUGCCACGUCAAC
Long non-coding RNA from Gavialis gangeticus (Gharial), 253 nucleotides. RefSeq lists it as uncharacterized. The record is from RefSeq and is a predicted model, not a curated record. The transcript is spliced from 3 exons. Lineage: Eukaryota; Metazoa; Chordata; Crocodylia; Gavialidae.